CCCUACGGGACGUAGCAGUGAGGAAUAUUGGUCAAUGGGAGAGAUCCUGAACCAGCCAAGCCGCGUGAGGGAAGACGGCCCUAUGGGUUGUAAACCUCUUUUGUCGGAGAACAAAACCCGGGACGUGUCCCGGACUGCGUGUAUCCGAAGAAAAAGCAUCGGCUAACUCCGUGCCAGCAGCCGCGGUAAUACGGAGGAUGCGAGCGUUAUCCGGAUUUAUUGGGUUUAAAGGGUGCGCAGGCGGCGAGUUAAGUCAGCGGUAAAAAUGCGGAGCUCAACUCCGUCGAGCCGUUGAAACUGCCGUU
This 305-nucleotide ribosomal RNA is filed under the name uncultured bacterium. RNAcentral's name for it is "bacterial SSU rRNA". It matches the Rfam family "Bacterial small subunit ribosomal RNA", at positions 337 to 640 of the family's 1533-position model. The record is from RNAcentral.